CCCGCUGAACUUAAGCAUAUCACUAAGCGGAGGAAAAGAAAUUAACUAAGAUUGCCUCAGUAACGGCGAGUGAAGCGGCAAAAGCCCAAAAUGGUAAUCUUCACCUUUCAGGUGACGAAUUGUAAUCUACAGGUGGGAUACUCAACUGGAAGUGAUGCAGAAGUACCCUAGAACGGGUCGCCAAAGAGGGUGACAGCCCCGUAUGUGGUGUCGCUUCCUAACGAGUACCUUUCGAAGAGUCGGGUUGUUUGGAAAUGCAGCCCUAAUUUGGAGAUACACUUCUUCUAAGGCUAAAUAUGUAUGGGAAACCGAUAGCGAACAAGUACUGUGAAGGAAAGAUGAAAAGAACUUUGAAAAGAGAGUCAAAAGACUUGAAAUCGUUGAGAAGGAAGCGGUAGAAAUUUAUUCUGCAGCUAGGAAUAAAGGUUGUCGCCUAAACAUUGUGGUAUUGAGUACUUCAACGGCUCGGUGCCACACCUGUGGAAGUGAUUGCUGGAUUCCUGGUAGUGAGGCAAAAUGGGGUUUCAUAUCCUCAAAAGCUUAGAUUACCUGGGGAGGUUCGCCUUCCAGUAGUUUUGUGCUCGUGGAUAUGAAGCCUGAGGAAGCUUAUGCGAUUUUGCUAAAAUGGUUUUUACCGACCCGUCUCGAAACACGGACCAAGGAGUCUAACAUAUAUGCGAGUGUGCUGGUGGAGAAACCAACACGUAUAAUGAAGGUAAUUGAUGCCAAGCGCAAGCAGCAGCAUCGACCGACCAUGAUCCUCCGGUGAAAGGUUUGAGUAAGAGCAUAUAUGCUAGGACCCGAAAGAUGGUGAACUAUGCCUGGGUAGGGUGAAGCCAGGGGAAACUCUGGUGGAAGCUCGAAGCGAUUCUGACGUGCAAAUCGAUCGUCAAACUUGGGUAUAGGGGCGAAAGACUAAUCGAACCAUCUAGUAGCUGGUUCCCUCCGAAGUUUCCCUUAGGAUAGCUGAGACAACAACGCAGUUUUAUCAGGUAAAGCGAAUGAUUAGAGGUAUCUGGGGUAAAUUGCCCUGGACCUAUUCUCAAACUUUAAAUUGGUAAGAACCUUGGCCUUUCUUAAUUGAGGCACAAGGGAUCAAUGCUUGUCUCAAGUGGGCCAUUUUUGGUAAGCAGAACUGGCGAUGAGGGUUGCUCCUAACGUUGAGUUAAGGUGCCAAACUACACGCUCAUCAGAAACUACAAAGGGUGUUGGUUCAUCCAGACAGCAGGACGGUGGCCAUGGAAGUCGGAACCCGCUAAGGAGUGUGUAACAACUCACCUGCCGAAUGGACUAGCCCCGAAAAUCGAUGGCGCUAAAGCGUGUGACCGAUACUCAACCAUUGUGGCGAGAGUGAGGCUACAAUGAGUAGGAGGGCGUGAACGUUGUUAAGAAGCCUCUGACGUGAGUCUGGGUUGAACAGCGUUUAGUGCAGAUCUUGGUGGUAGUAGCAAUUAUUCAAAUGAGAACUUUGAAGGCCGAAGUGGAGAAGGCUUCCGUGAGAACAGCAAUUGGUCACGGGUGACUCGAUCCUAAGACAUGGGGGAAAUCCUUGUUAAGUGCACCGUAUGGUGCGUAGUCGAAAGGGAAUGAGGUUAAUAUUCCUCAAGCUGGAUGUGGGUGUUGUAUGGUAACAUAAAUGAGCUCAGAAACGCCAGUGUGUGCCUCUGGAAGAGUUCUCUUCUCUUUUUAACAGGCUAACGACCUUGAAAUUGGAUUAUCCAGAGAUAAGGUGGUAUGCUUGGAAGAGCACCUUGCUUUUCGAGGUGUCAGGUGCGCUCACAAUGGUCCAUGAAAAUCUGAGUGAGAUAGCUUCACACCAGGUCGUACCCAUAACCGCAUCAGGUCUCCAAGGUU
This 1854-nucleotide ribosomal RNA is filed under the name Anteholosticha antecirrata. Its description in RNAcentral is "partial large subunit ribosomal RNA". It matches the Rfam family "Eukaryotic large subunit ribosomal RNA", at positions 24 to 1874 of the family's 3401-position model. Lineage: Eukaryota; Ciliophora; Spirotrichea; Urostylida; Holostichidae. The record is from RNAcentral.